GAUGAACGCUGGCGGCGUGCCUAAUACAUGCAAGUCGAGCGAACAGAUGAGGAGCUUGCUCCUCUGACGUUAGCGGCGGACGGGUGAGUAACACGUGGAUAACCUACCUAUAAGACUGGGAUAACUUCGGGAAACCGGAGCUAAUACCGGAUAAUAUAUUGAACCGCAUGGUUCAAUAGUGAAAGACGGUUUUGCUGUCACUUAUAGAUGGAUCCGCGCCGCAUUAGCUAGUUGGUAAGGUAACGGCUUACCAAGGCAACGAUGCGUAGCCGACCUGAGAGGGUGAUCGGCCACACUGGAACUGAGACACGGUCCAGACUCCUACGGGAGGCAGCAGUAGUGAAUCUUCCGCAAUAGGCGAAAGCCUGACGGAUCAACGCCGCGUGUGUGAUGUAGGUCUUCGGAUCGUAAAACUCUGUUAUUAGGGAAGAACAAAUGUGUAAGUAACUAUGCACGUCUUGACGGUACCUAAUCAGAAAGCCACGGCUAACUUCGUG
RNAcentral lists this ribosomal RNA (497 nucleotides) under uncultured bacterium. RNAcentral describes it as "partial 16S ribosomal RNA". It matches the Rfam family "Bacterial small subunit ribosomal RNA", at positions 28 to 507 of the family's 1533-position model. The record is from RNAcentral.